AUUGAACGCUGGCGACAGGCCUAACACAUGCAAGUCGAGCGCGAAAGUCUUCGGAUGAGUAAAGCGGCGAACGGGUGAGUAAUGCAUGGGAAUCUGCCUGGUAGUGGGGGACAACGUCUCGAAAGGGACGCUAAUACCGCAUACGCCCUACGGGGGAAAGGGGGGGAGUCUUCGGACCUCUCGCUAUCAGAUGAGCCCAUGUCAGAUUAGCUAGUUGGUGAGGUAAAGGCUCACCAAGGCGACGAUCUGUAACUGGUCUGAGAGGAUGAUCAGUCACACUGGAACUGAGACACGGUCCAGACUCCUACGGGAGGCAGCAGUGGGGAAUAUUGGACAAUGGGGGCAACCCUGAUCCAGCCAUGCCGCGUGUGUGAAGAAGGCCCUAGGGUUGUAAAGCACUUUCAGUGGGGAGAAAGGUUAUUCACCUAAUACGUGAGUAGAUUGAUGUUACCCACAGAAGAAGCACCGGCUAACUCCGUGCCAGCAG
This 487-nucleotide ribosomal RNA is filed under the name uncultured bacterium. RNAcentral describes it as "bacterial SSU rRNA". It matches the Rfam family "Bacterial small subunit ribosomal RNA", at positions 30 to 514 of the family's 1533-position model. The record is from RNAcentral.